Molecule: transfer RNA, 88 nt
Filed under: Cenarchaeum symbiont of Oopsacas minuta
Lineage: Archaea; Thermoproteati; Nitrososphaerota; Candidatus Cenarchaeales; Candidatus Cenarchaeaceae
Description: tRNA-Leu
Rfam family: tRNA
About the family: Transfer RNA (tRNA) molecules are approximately 80 nucleotides in length. Their secondary structure includes four short double-helical elements and three loops (D, anti-codon, and T loops).
Source: RNAcentral
GCGGGAGUUGCCUAGCCUGGUCAAAGGCGUAAGGUUCAGAUCCUUAUCUCUUAGGAGUUCGUGGGUUCAAAUCCCAUCUCCCGCACCA